AUGCAAGUCGAACGAGGCCCUCUUCCUUCGGGAGGAGGUGUCCUAGUGGCGAACGGGUGAGUAACACGUUGGUGACCUACCCCGAAGAGGGGGACAACCCCGGGAAACUGGGGCUAAUACCCUAUGUGAUCCUAAGGAUUAGAUGCCUAAGGAUGAAAUGGAGCAAUUCGCUUCGGGAGGGGCCUGCGGCCUAUCAGCUAGUUGGUGAGGUAAUGGCUCACCAAGGCGACGACGGGUAGGGGACCUGAGAGGGUGACCCCCCACACUGGAACUGAAACACGGACCAGACACCUACGGGUGGCAGCAGUAGGGAAUAUUGCACAUAGGCGAAAGCCUGAUGCAGCAACGCCGCGUGCGCGAUGAAGGCCUUAGGGUUGUAAAGCGCUUUUCUGGGGGAAGAGAAAGGACGGUACCCCAGGAAUAAGUCUCGGCUAACUACGUGCCAGCAGCCGCGGUAAAACGUAGGAGGCGAGCGUUAUCCGGAUUUACUGGGCGUAAAGCGCGUGCAGGCGGUUUGGUAAGUCGGACGUGAAAGCUCCCGGCUCAACUGGGAGAGGCCGUUCGAAACUACCAGGACUAGAGGGCAGCAGAGGGAGGUGGAAUUCCAGGUGUAGCGGUG
Molecule: ribosomal RNA, 619 nt
Filed under: uncultured bacterium
Lineage: Bacteria
Description: bacterial SSU rRNA
Rfam family: Bacterial small subunit ribosomal RNA
Source: RNAcentral